GCCCCCGUAGCUCAGUGGAUAGAGCGCCCGCCUUCUAAGCGGUUGGCCGCAGGUUCGAGUCCUGCCGGGGGCA
This 73-nucleotide transfer RNA is filed under the name Actinomycetota bacterium. RNAcentral's name for it is "tRNA-Arg". It matches the Rfam family "tRNA". Rfam says of the family: Transfer RNA (tRNA) molecules are approximately 80 nucleotides in length. Their secondary structure includes four short double-helical elements and three loops (D, anti-codon, and T loops). Further hydrogen bonds mediate the characteristic L-shaped molecular structure. tRNAs have two regions of fundamental functional importance: the anti-codon, which is responsible for specific mRNA codon recognition, and the 3' end, to which the tRNAs corresponding amino acid is attached (by aminoacyl-tRNA synthetases). tRNAs cope with the degeneracy of the genetic code in two manners: having more than one tRNA (with a specific anti-codon) for a particular amino acid; and 'wobble' base-pairing, i.e. permitting non-standard base-pairing at the 3rd anti-codon position. Lineage: Bacteria; Bacillati; Actinomycetota. The record is from RNAcentral.